AACCUAGGAUAGCUCAGUUGGUACAGCAUGAGACUCUUAAUUUCAGGGUUGUGGGUUUGAGCCCUAUAUUGGUCA
Molecule: non-coding RNA, 75 nt
Organism: Podarcis lilfordi (Lilford's wall lizard)
Lineage: Eukaryota; Metazoa; Chordata; Lepidosauria; Squamata; Lacertidae
Source: the annotation of a GenBank genome assembly